GACGAACGCUGGCGGCGUGCUUAACACAUGCAAGUCGAACGGUAAGGCUCCAGCUUGCUGGGGUACACGAGUGGCCAACGGGUGAGUAACACGUGGGUGACCUGCCCUGCACUUCGGGAUAAGCCUGGGAAACUGGGUCUAAUACCCGAUAGGACCGCACCGUGAGGGUGUGGUGGAAAGUUUUUUCGGUGUGGGAUGGGCCCCCGGCCUAUCAGCUUGUUGGUGGGGUAAUGGCCUACCAAGGCGGCGACGGGUAGCCGGCCUGAGAGGGUGGACGGCCACAUUGGGACUGAUACACGGCCCAUACUCCUACGGGAGGCAGCAAUGGGGAAUAUUGCACAGUGGCCGGAAGCCUGAUGCAGCGACGCCUCGUGCGGGAUGACGGCCUACGGGUUGUAAACUCCUUUCACCAUCGACCAAGGGUUUCUGACAGUCGAUGGACACCAAGCACCGGCUAACUACGCGCCAGCAGCUGCGGUAAUACGUAGGGUGCGAGCCCUCUCCGGAAUUACUGGGCGUAAAGAGCCUCGUAGGUGGUUUGUCGCGUCGUCUGUGAAAUUCCGGGGCUUAACUCCGGGCGUGCAGGCGAUACGGGCAUAACUUGAGUACUGUAGGGGAGACUGGAAUUCCUGGUGUAGCGGUGAAAUGCGCAGAUAUCAGGAGGAACACCGGUGGCGAAGGCGGGUCUCUGGGCAGUAACUGACGCUGAGGAGCGAAAGCAUGGGGAGCGAACAGGAUUAGAUACCCUGGUAGUCCAUGCCGUAAACGGUGGGCGCUAGGUGUGGGUUUCCUUCCACGGGAUCCGUGCCGUAGCUAACGCAUUAAGCGCCCCGCCUGGGGAGUACGGCCGCAAGGCUAAAACUCAAAGGAAUUGACGGGGGCCCGCACAAGCGGCGGAGCAUGUGGAUUAAUUCGAUGCAACGCGAAGAACCUUACCUGGGCUUGACAUAUACAGGAUCGCGCCAGAGAUGGUGUUUCCCUUGUGGCUUGUAUACAGGUGGUGCAUGGUUGUCGUCAGCUCGUGUCGUGAGAUGUUGGGUUAAGUCCCGCAACGAGCGCAACCCUUGUCUUAUGUUGCCAGCACGUUGUGGUGGGGACUCGUAAGAAACUGCCGGGGUUAACUCGGAGGAAGGUGGGGAUGACGUCAAAUCAUCAUGCCCCUUAUGUCCAGGGCUUCACACAUGCUACAAUGGUCGGUACAGUGGGUUGCCAGUCCGUGAGGGCGAGCUAAUCCCGCAAAGCCGGUCUCAGUUCGGAUCGGGGUCUGCAACUCGACCCCGUGAAGUCGGAGUCGCUAGUAAUCGCAGAUCAGCAACGCUGCGGUGAAUACGUCCCCGGGCCU
RNAcentral lists this ribosomal RNA (1342 nucleotides) under uncultured bacterium. Its description in RNAcentral is "bacterial SSU rRNA". It matches the Rfam family "Bacterial small subunit ribosomal RNA", at positions 28 to 1381 of the family's 1533-position model. The record is from RNAcentral.